Bubalus bubalis (water buffalo) is the source of this 265-nucleotide long non-coding RNA. RefSeq lists it as uncharacterized. The record is from RefSeq and is a predicted model, not a curated record. NCBI's taxonomy places the organism in Eukaryota, Metazoa, Chordata, Mammalia, Artiodactyla, Bovidae. The transcript is spliced from 3 exons.
CCGGGGAGGCCUCAGUGUCUCCUCUCCUUCGGGAGAACGGAAGGACGCCUGCGGCCUACUUUAUCCACAGAUGCUGUUACCCUAAUUUAUGGACAAGGAAACUGAAGCUCUGGGUGAUGGGGCAGCUUGCUGAGUUAAGUCAGCUUCCUCUCAGGAGCUAUACAUCAGAAGAAAGGCUUCAAAAUCUUGUUGGAUAAAGGAGGCCUUUAUGGAGCAAAGCAACUCCGAAAGUGUUUUGCAUAACAACAUGCCCACGGAUUUUAAC